This 255-nucleotide ribosomal RNA is filed under the name uncultured bacterium. RNAcentral describes it as "partial 16S ribosomal RNA". It matches the Rfam family "Bacterial small subunit ribosomal RNA", at positions 524 to 776 of the family's 1533-position model. The record is from RNAcentral.
UACGAAGGGGGCUAGCGUUGCUCGGAAUGACUGGGCGUAAAGGGCGCGUAGGCGGAUUGUACAGUCAGGCGUGAAAUUCCCGGGCUCAACCUGGGGGGCUGCGCUUGAGACGUGCGAUCUUGAGUGGGGAAGAGGGUCGUGGAAUUCCCAGUGUAGAGGUGAAAUUCGUAGAUAUUGGGGAAGAACACCGGUGGCGAAGGCGGCGACCUGGUCCUUGACUGACGCUGAGGCGCGAAAGCGUGGGGAGCAAACAGG